GUGCCAGCAGCUGCGGUAAUACGGAGGGUGCGAGCGUUAAUCGGAAUUACUGGGCGUAAAGCGCAUGCAGGUGGUUUGUUAAGUCAGAUGUGAAAGCCCGGGGCUCAACCUCGGAAUUGCAUUUGAAACUGGCAGGCUAGAGUACUGUAGAGGGGGUAGAAUUUCAGGUGUAGCGGUGAAAUGCGUAGAGAUCUGAAGGAAUACCGGUGGCGAAGGCCGGCCCCCUGGACAGAUACUGACACUCAGAUGCGAAAGCGUGGGAGCAAACAGGAUUAGACUACCCGU
RNAcentral lists this ribosomal RNA (285 nucleotides) under uncultured Vibrio sp. RNAcentral describes it as "partial 16S ribosomal RNA". It matches the Rfam family "Bacterial small subunit ribosomal RNA", at positions 505 to 790 of the family's 1533-position model. Lineage: Bacteria; Pseudomonadati; Pseudomonadota; Gammaproteobacteria; Vibrionales; Vibrionaceae. The record is from RNAcentral.